This is a long non-coding RNA of Melospiza georgiana, 517 nucleotides long. RefSeq lists it as uncharacterized. The transcript has 2 exons. The record is from RefSeq and is a predicted model, not a curated record. Lineage: Eukaryota; Metazoa; Chordata; Aves; Passeriformes; Passerellidae.
UCUCGUGGUUAUUGAGAAAAGGAUCCAAAUGUGAAGCAAGUUUUGCUCCAAUGGUUCAAAACCAGAAGAAAAUACACCAGAACCAGAACUGUCCUCAUAUGGUUGGAUGCCUGUUACAAUACGAACACAAACCCAAAAGGGUCUUUCUCUGCCCUUGGCUGCCCUGGUGCUGUUUAAAUCCACCAAGUUUUCCCUCUCUGAGUAGGACUGCAUGGAGAAUCCUUCAUCUGGCUUCCCUGUGCUUCCCUGCUGCUUCUCAGGCAUGUGCCAAGCUUUUCUUCCCUGCCCCUGGAAGGCUCUCUGUGCUGCUGGACACAUGGCAAAAAGCAAAUUCAUUUACUGCUGCAGAUGGGACAGCUGCAAUCCAAGGUGGAUGGAGAGUGACUCCAGGCUGGGGUGAUCUCAAUAGAUCUCUACUGCCAUCUUAGCCACCCCCCACAUCUUUACAAGACCACCUUUUUCCUCUUUUGCAGUCACAUCUUUGCAGCUGGGAUGCCUCUUACAUAAGGUAUUUGAG